GCCACGUUGGUCUAGCGGUUAGAACGCUGGCCUUGUAAUCCUGGGGUCUCGGGUUCGAUUCCCGGCGGUGCCC
Non-coding RNA from Zootermopsis nevadensis, 73 nucleotides. The record is from Rfam. NCBI's taxonomy places the organism in Eukaryota, Metazoa, Arthropoda, Insecta, Blattodea, Termopsidae.